UGGGGAAUAUUGGACAAUGGGCGCAAGCCUGAUCCAGCCAUGCCGCGUGAGUGAUGAAGGCCUUAGGGUUGUAAAGCCCUUUUAGCAGGGAAGAUAAUGACGGUACCUGCAGAAAAAGCCCCGGCUAACUUCGUGCCAGCAGCCGCGGUAAUACGAAGGGGGCUAGCGUUGCUCGGAAUUACUGGGCGUAAAGCGCACGUAGGCGGACUCUUAAGUCGGUGGUGAAAUCCUGGAGCUCAACUCCAGAACUGCCUUCGAUACUGGGAGUCUUGAGUUCGGGAGAGGUGAGUGGAACUGCGAGUGUAGAGGUGAAAUUCGUAGAUAUUCGCAAGAACACCAGUGGCGAAGGCGGCUCACUGGCCCGAUACUGACGCUGAGGUGCGAAAGCGUGGGGAGCAAACA
This 402-nucleotide ribosomal RNA is filed under the name uncultured bacterium. RNAcentral describes it as "bacterial SSU rRNA". It matches the Rfam family "Bacterial small subunit ribosomal RNA", at positions 355 to 774 of the family's 1533-position model. The record is from RNAcentral.